UGGGGAAUAUUGCACAAUGGGCGAAAGCCUGAUGCAGCGACGCCGCGUGAGGGAUGACGGCCUUCGGGUUGUAAACCUCUUUCAGCAGGGACGAAGCGCAAGUGACGGUACCUGCAGAAGAAGCACCGGCUAACUACGUGCCAGCAGCCGCGGUAAUACGUAGGGUGCAAGCGUUGUCCGGAAUUACUGGGCGUAAAGAGUUCGUAGGCGGUUUGUCGCGUCGUUUGUGAAAACCAGCAGCUCAACUGCUGGCUUGCAGGCGAUACGGGCAGACUUGAGUACUGCAGGGGAGACUGGAAUUCCUGGUGUAGCGGUGAAAUGCGCAGAUAUCAGGAGGAACACGGGUGGCGAAGGCGGGUCUCUGGGCAGUAACUGACGCUGAGGAACGAAAGCGUGGGUAGCGAACAGG
Molecule: ribosomal RNA, 409 nt
Filed under: bacterium
Lineage: Bacteria
Description: partial 16S ribosomal RNA
Rfam family: Bacterial small subunit ribosomal RNA
Source: RNAcentral